Long non-coding RNA from Rhopalosiphum maidis (corn leaf aphid), 958 nucleotides. RefSeq lists it as uncharacterized. Lineage: Eukaryota; Metazoa; Arthropoda; Insecta; Hemiptera; Aphididae. The transcript is spliced from 3 exons. The record is from RefSeq and is a predicted model, not a curated record.
AUAUUAUGUGAUUGGUUUAUAUCAAAUUAAUAUUCUGGUAAAUUCUUAUAAAAAGGUGACCAUCUUCAAAUCACAAGUCUACUAUAUGUCUAACAGUAGUAUAUUCAAUAGCACUUUAUUGUGUGCACAGUUAAAAAAUAAUGAUUAUGAAGGUUGUUUUCUUUUUUCAAAUGAAGGUUAUCAUUAAAAGAGUGAAUUAAUGAUACCAUUAUUAUAUCUUACUAUAAUUUCUGAAAUAAAAAACAGGAAUUCCAAAUUGAAACUAAGAAUGUUAUUCAGUCAUUGAAUAGAUGUUUGUUGUUUUGAAAUGAUGUUUUUCUGUUUUGUCUGCAAGUAUAAAAUUAUACACUUAGUCAAAAACAGUAUAUUUAAUAGUAACCACUAUUAAUGUAACCAAUAUUUUUUUUUAUCUCAAAUUAUUUAACACGUUGACCGCCAUGAGAUCUUAUAUGAGAUCUCAUCAAACAUUGUCCUGACCGCCACAGCUGGUUUUAUGUGGUUUACUAAAAAAAAUUUAAGGAAAAAAAAUUGUCUGAUUUCAUUCAAAAUUUGUACCUUAGUUUAAAAUUUUUCUGUUAAAAUGUUCCUUUUGGUUUUAACUUAAUAUAAACUGAGAUCUCAAAUUAGAUCUCAUGGCCGUAGGAUGUCACUACUAUAAAAAUUAAUUUUUUGACCAUUGCCAUGAGAUCUCAAACUAAAUCUCACUUUGAAUAAGUACUUCAAUUGAGGUUAAAUCUACUCAACUAAACUUAAAUAGGUAUUUAUUUAUUGCAUCAAAUAUAUUAUUUGAGUUAUAAAGGUAUUAUAUUAAAACAAGUUGCAUACAAUUUAUGUUGCCUUUAUUCCUAUAAAUUGCAUAAUUAUAACAAAAAAUUUAUAUGAUAUAAACAUAAUUAUAUGAAAAACAAAACUUUUGACUUUUUAUGAUGAAUAUUAACAUUAUAUGUAUAUAAAAACA